UACGUAGGGUCCAAGCGCUAUCCGGAAUCAUUGGGCGUAAAGAGCUCGUAGGCGGUUCAGCAAGUCGGCUGUGAAAGUCCGAGGCUCAACCUCGGAAUUGCAGUCGAUACUGCCAUGACUUGAGUCCGGUAGGGGAGUAUGGAAUUUCCGGUGUAGCGGUGAAAUGCGCAGAUAUCGAGAGGAACACCAGUAGCGAAGGCGGUUCUCUGGGCCGGCACUGACGCUGAGGAGCGAAAGCGUGGGGAGCAAACAGG
Molecule: unclassified non-coding RNA, 254 nt
Filed under: uncultured Acidimicrobiia bacterium
Lineage: Bacteria; Bacillati; Actinomycetota; Acidimicrobiia
Description: contains 16S-23S intergenic spacer region
Rfam family: Bacterial small subunit ribosomal RNA
Source: RNAcentral